AUGGCCACCUCCACCUCCACCUCCGGGGGAGGCGGGGCACGGCCGUGGCGUACCGCGCUUCUCACCCUCCGCGAUGAGUCAGUCGCCUCGCCCUCCCCUCCGGCUCUCCUCGCGCUCCUCCGCCGCCUCCUUCUGCCCCCCUCCUCGCCAUCCCUCGCGGCCUCCGCCGCCGCGCUCUCCCCUCACGAGGUGGGCUCGGAUGUGGCGUUCCUCGCGGAGAAGGCCGCGGCGGUGGCCCCCUGUGCUGGCGCCGCCGACGCGCUGCGUGGCGUCUGCCACCUGAUUCGUGAGGUCAUGUGCAAGACAAAUACGGAGAUUGACUCUUCUGGCUGGCUUGCAGUGUUAACGUUUCUUCAUGAGCUUGUGAAGUGUUCAGUUGAGGGUGCAUGCCUUAAGGGUCACUGUGAUAGGACAUCUGCACUGAAUACACUAUCUGAUUGUUUGCAAAUUCUCAGGUUUUUGAGCAAGGAUCUUGGAAGAGGUGGUUCAUUAACUGAGAAUUCACAUGUACUCAGAGUUCUUAUCUUGAUCAUAUCAUGCUUGCAAGCUGAACUGAACAUGACAGAUAAAUCCAAUGGUCCUGGCAUUUCCUCCCACAUUUCUGUAUCAACGAAUAAUAAAAAUUAUAAUACCUGGGAUAUGGAAAUCUCUGCAUUUUCGAUGAUGGAAGAUAUACUAUGCAAGAUUGCAUCGAGUAUGUCGGAAGUUUUAUGGCAGUCUGUUGUUGAGGUCUUGAGAAAAGUUAUGGACUCUGUGACAGCAAGGAACCUUAUUAUUGAGAGUAGCGUUAUGUCAAGAUUUUAUACUUCCUUUCUUCGUUGUCUGCAUUUCGUUCUUUCAGAACCGAAAGCUUCACUUUCAGGACAUGUAGCAGGUUUCGUGGCAAAUUUGCAAAUGUUUUUUGUGUAUGGGCUAAGGUCAUCUUCGCCAUCUGCAAUAAUUCCAAAGGAAAACAAAACAGACUCACAAUCCAGGGGUUCUGGCCGUGGACGAUAUAAACCACCUCAUUUACGAAAAAAGGAUGGAAAAACAAAUGAUUCAUUGGACGAUCGAAGUUCAGAUAGUGAAUCUUCUCGAUAUGAUUUAGGCUCUUCAGAUUCAGAUCUGAGCGAUACUGAUGGAUAUGCAAAAAGUGGAGACCGUUUCAGGAGUUCGAAAGCUAGACUAGCUGCCAUCCUUUGUAUACAGGAUAUUUGUCGUGCUGACCCAAAAUCACUUACUUCACUGUGGCCAUUACUUUUGCCUGAGAACGACGUUCUCCAACAAAGAAAAUAUCGAGCUACUCUGAUGACAUGCUUGAUUUUUGACCCUAUAACAAAGGUACGUGUUGAGGCAGCAUCGACGAUUGCUGCCAUGCUGGAAGGGCAGGCCUUAGUUUUGACACAAGUUGCAGAGUAUAAAGAAUCAUCGAAACUUGGAUCUUUCACUACGUUAUCUUGCUCGCUUGGUCAAAUUCUGAUGCAGCUGCACACAGGUAUGAUGUUCUUGGUACAGCGUGAAACUCAAACUACAUUGCUUGCAGCAGUGUUCAGAGUUCUCAUCCUUCUGAUAUCUGCUACACCGUACCCUCGAAUGCCGAAGGAGCUGUUGCCAACUGUCAUUACAGCCAUGUGCGGUAGAUUAUUAGACAGGAACUCAAAUAAAAAUGAACAUUAUGCUUUGCUGGUUAAUGUUCUAAGUUGCUUGGAGGCAGCAUUUGCAAAGGGGCCACCUUCUUCAGAUGUCUUUGGAGUUCUCAUUGAUCACUGUGCAGGGCCAUCACUUGCUCAGCAGAAGUCAAGUGUCGUAGUUAUUCUUCUUCAUUGUAUAGAAGAGGAAAUGCAUUUCAGUGUUAGGUGUGGAGCUCUCCAGGUGUUGAGAUCAGUGGUUCAUAAUUACCCAAGCUGUGCAAACAUCAUUUGGGAAAAAGUUCGAGAUAUCGUUCUUGAUUUAUUGCAAACGGAGAGCUUUGAAGACCAAAAAUGUGAUGCUAACUUUGGCCCCCCUAAAGAAGAAUUAUCUACUAAAGGAAGAUGUCUUGUAGCUGGUAUUAAGGUAAUUGAUGAGUGUCUGCGUGUUUCAUCUGGAUUCAAGGGUGCGGAUGAUCUCAAAGAGUGUAGAUUGCUGGAUAUUCAGCAAUUUUCAGACUGCACUGUAAAUAAAAGUAUUAAAUCUGCGCCUCACUUUGAAAUUGAAACCCCUGGACCAUCACAAAACUGCUCUUUGGACAUUACACUUGGAACCAACCGUUGGACUGAGGUGUUAGAAACUCAUCUCCCUCGGGGAUUAUCACAUGCCUCUGCUAUGGUCAGGACAGCAUCACUCACAUGUUUCGCGGGCAUGACCUCUGAUGUUUUCUUCUCCCUACCAGUAAACAAGAGAGAUUAUGUGACCUCCUCAUCUGUUCAUGCAGCAUUGAGUGAUGCAGUUGCUACAGUGAGGUCGGCUGCAUGUCGAGCCAUUGGUAUUGUUUCAUGUUUCUCCCAAAUAUUGUCGAGUCCUAGCCUACCUGGCGAGUUCAUAAAAGCCAUUGACUUCAAUACACAAAAUUCAUCAACUCCAGUCCGUAUCACUGCCUCGUGGGCUUUGGCCAAUCUUUGUUCUUCUAUUCGUUUCAGAGCAUUGGAACUACAAACAGAUCCGACUGCAGAUCUACUUGAUAAAUCAACAAUUUCAUUGCUGGUUGAAAUUGCUUUGCGCCUAACCAAAGAUGGCGAAAAAGUAAAGUCAAAUGCCGUUAGAGCCCUUGGAUAUCUGUCAAGAUUUAUCAGAUUCAAUCAUCAUUGUGAUGCAGUUGAUGAUUCAAGGAAUUCUGUUUUCUAUGGAGAUCCUGUCUGUCUUCAAACAAUAGUACAGGCUUUGAUGUCUUCUGUGACUACUGGAAAUGUAAAGGUUCAGUGGAAUGUUUGUCAUGCUCUUAGUAACUUAUUCAUGAAUGACACCGUGAGACUUUCAGAGAUGCAGUGGGCAUCAAGUGUUUAUAGCAUACUUCUACUAUUACUCCGUGACUCAAACAAUUAUAAAAUAAGGAUGCAUGCGGCUGUUGCUUUAGCAGUGCCAGUCACAAGGCUUGAUUAUGGUAGCUCCUUUCCAGAUGUUGUCAGAGGCCUCACACAUGUUCUUGAGUCAUUAAGUUCGAACAGUUCAUCAUCGCCUUCAAAUUUCAAACACCGGGACAACCUUGAGAAACAGCUUACGUUUACUGCUCUGCAUUUGCUUGGUUUUGUUUCACCGAAGGAUGACCAAAGCCUGAAAGAUUUUCUUAUCAAGGUUUCUACUCUAGCCCUGUGUAAUAUGCAUGCACUGAAGAAAUACCCCAUAAAGGCAUCCUUUCUGGAAGACUGGCUGAAGGGUUUAUGCUCAGCAUUCAAUAGUGCCGAGGACCAGCCUCUGGCAAGCGAGACCAUAAAUGACGAGGAUGGUUUCAGCCCAAAUGUGUCACAGAAAGUUAUGUUAUCUUCUGCUGUAGUGUCCUUGCUCAAUGUAUAUACAAGUGGAAACCAGCAAGUUAUUACUCAGAGAUUUGAGCAAUUGGCUAGAAGCACAGCGUGA
RNAcentral lists this ribosomal RNA (3531 nucleotides) under Triticum aestivum (bread wheat). RNAcentral's name for it is "partial small subunit ribosomal RNA". Lineage: Eukaryota; Viridiplantae; Streptophyta; Magnoliopsida; Poales; Poaceae. The record is from RNAcentral.